UGGGGUCUUUUAUCAACGGCGUAGUAGAAUGUGCUCAUUCAUUUUGCUCACCCGCCGUGUCGCACGGGUCGAGGUGACGAGACAACUUCGUCGUCUUGGUCAGUUGCCACCACGAGACGGGUUGUUGAGUCAUUGCUCCCUAUGGCGGGCUUGCCUUCUCAUCCACUUCUGGAAUUGGAUGACGAACAUCUUCCGAGUUUCAAAAUUUAAGUGUCCAUCGUCUUCAUUUACAGAAGAAUUGGGAACAUAAUUGGUUUAAUUUAUUAUUUAAUUGGGUAACCCCAAUCAUUGGUCAAAGAAAAGAAAUAGCUGUGACACUGAAAACAGUAUUGUAAGACGGCUCGAAGAACUCCAGUUUUUCAGUUAGACAAAAAGAGCAAGACGACACCUACUGGUCAAGCAAGAGUAAGUCGCCAUUGCAAAGGCGCCAAACAGAAUGGUCACAAUGGCCACUGAGCUCGAUGAUGUCAUCGUGCAACAAGAGGUACUGUACUUAGAGACUGAAGAAUCGCAGAAAAGCAGAGUGGUGGUGCAAAAAAUACUUAAAUAUUGAAGAGCGGCACACGUGCAUUCCGAAGUUUGGAGGUUACGUGUAAAAGACAAAGUGCAUUUUAGGUCUUCUGAAAUUCUAGUCAAGCUGAAGACAAUAGCGUAUGGUAUCGUAAUUACUGAUCAGAUUUGUACUCAGUGAUUAUCAAAAGGUUUCGGUCUAUUACAUUUGUUUAUUUCAGAUUCCGAGUUGAUAAAAUCAAUUAUGUUGAAUAAACCGUUUGAACUGACUACUUUCCAAGACAAUGUGUUGCCAUGGGUACACAAUUGUACAUGCAGACUUGUCAACCUCAGCAGGAGGGUGGGGAACAAUCCACUCUGUGGUCAGUUCUUGCAUUGCACAGGUUUAUCCAUUCAGUUAAUACCAUUUGUUCAAUUGGAUGAGGUUUUCUAAAUCUAAAAGUACAGACUGAAAUUGAGACAUCAAAACAUUCAGUACAACGAGCACCAACAUGAUGAGCCCAAACUGAAAGUUUUACUCUCUAUCGGAGUUGCGUUUCACCCAUUGACAAUCUAGAUCAGAAAGAAAAGUGAAUCCAAUAAAUGUUGAGACAUGAGA
This is a long non-coding RNA of Hippocampus zosterae (dwarf seahorse), 1108 nucleotides long. RefSeq lists it as uncharacterized. The transcript has 2 exons. The record is from RefSeq and is a predicted model, not a curated record. Lineage: Eukaryota; Metazoa; Chordata; Actinopteri; Syngnathiformes; Syngnathidae.